GUGGAGAAGUAAGCCAAAGAACUCAUGAGACUUAUUCUCCCACAGAGUUUCGGGAGACUUUAGUCAAGCCUGGAAUCCUGGAUGUUUUCUUUGGCGAUAAAAGCUUCUGAUUUACAAGGACUACACCUUGACCUGGACAUGGUGAAUAUAGGAGGAUGUUCUCACAUGGAAAACACAGUAGACAGUCAUCUGAGCUGCUAAGAAGACCACUUCCCCCUCGAGGUCCCUUAUUUUUGGCUGGGGAAGCCCUGGACACCCCGUAGCCUUGUAAGCGCCAGCCUCAUCAUGUCCCAUCGCCUGUCGAACACAUAGUAGCCCGAUCCCAUGAGCCGGCGGCUGAAGAGGCAAACCUGGACGGAGACGCAAGAGAACCUGGUUGAGAGACCACUGAGGCAAGCAUGACACCCCAAGGCAUGUAAGCAGAGGGAGAGACAGGCUUAAAUAACAAGAAAAAAUGGUUCAAUAAAGGAGGAAAUGGCAAGGAAGUUUGGGAAUGAUGAGAGGAAUCAAAUGGAAGAAGUGCCGUGGAUGAUGACUGGAGUAGUGCAAGGAAGGUCUGUCAGUGUCAUCCGGAGUUUCCGUGUCUCCCUCAUCGCUGGAAAGUCGGCUGCUGUCCUCUGGUGCGUUCAUCCAGCUAUAA
Girardinichthys multiradiatus is the source of this 640-nucleotide long non-coding RNA. RefSeq lists it as uncharacterized. The transcript has 5 exons. NCBI's taxonomy places the organism in Eukaryota, Metazoa, Chordata, Actinopteri, Cyprinodontiformes, Goodeidae. The record is from RefSeq and is a predicted model, not a curated record.